GCCUGAAUGGCUCAGUCGGUUGAGUGUCCGACUUUGACUCAGGUCAUGAUCUUGCAGUUCGUGGGUUCAAGCCCCGCGUCUGGCU
Molecule: transfer RNA, 85 nt
Filed under: Felis catus (domestic cat)
Lineage: Eukaryota; Metazoa; Chordata; Mammalia; Carnivora; Felidae
Rfam family: tRNA
About the family: Transfer RNA (tRNA) molecules are approximately 80 nucleotides in length. Their secondary structure includes four short double-helical elements and three loops (D, anti-codon, and T loops).
Source: Rfam by way of RNAcentral